AGCUAGACAAGUACUGGCCUCAGCAGACUGAAGAGGACACGAUAAUGGUUGCCAUGCAGUCUGCUGAGGUUGGAGCUGCUGAGAUGA
This 87-nucleotide microRNA precursor is filed under the name Aotus nancymaae (Ma's night monkey). RNAcentral's name for it is "miRNA (ENSANAG00000000407.1)". Lineage: Eukaryota; Metazoa; Chordata; Mammalia; Primates; Aotidae. The record is from RNAcentral.